AAGCUUUUUCCUUUCAAUUGAAUCUAAAACUAUACUGUAUUGAAUAGUGAGAACAAAGGUGCUAAUCUGUAGUACUGAGAAAGGCCAAUUAUGCCCUCUGCAUCAGACAGGGCUUAAUAUGAUUUUAAAUAAUUGCCAAAUUAGAUGCAUAUGAAUGUAGUUUUACUAUUUACUCAAAACCCUUAGGGAGGAAUUACGCUAAGCCCAGCAGCAGACAUUUUGUGUUACCAUGGCAGCCCAUAUUUCCUGCAGGGUUGUGACCCCUAAUUGCAAUGUUUCUCGAUGGAUUACAGACAGGAAAAAGUACUGAGCAUACUCAACUUUAUGUAAGCAUUGGGCAUGCAGUCCACCUUUUCUUGUUGGAAGCGGUUCAAGGGGUCGAUUGGGCUGAACACUACUGAGAACUGGUAUUGUGUCUCCAUGCUAACCAGCUGAAGGGUGGCAAACCUUGACUUGGAUGACUUAGCUGCAGUUCAUUGUGCUUGUAGAUAUCAUUAUGGCUAUCUCCUUAAAAAAAAAGCUUUUGAGUAGAUGAGUUGGAUUUGGUGCCUUCCAUUGGGUGAGCUCUCUCUGAGCCUCUGACUCCACAGUGCAUGGAUUUCACAAUGCUUCCCCUCUCCCCUGCUUGGUACAGCUAUACCACAGUGUUGGCAACAGGCUUCUGCAGUCAAUUCAUUGGGCUGUCAUUGAAUCCAGAUGAGACCAAACAUGA
This 712-nucleotide long non-coding RNA is filed under the name Homo sapiens (human). RNAcentral describes it as "HSALNT0286769". Lineage: Eukaryota; Metazoa; Chordata; Mammalia; Primates; Hominidae. The record is from RNAcentral.